RNAcentral lists this ribosomal RNA (466 nucleotides) under uncultured bacterium. Its description in RNAcentral is "bacterial SSU rRNA". It matches the Rfam family "Bacterial small subunit ribosomal RNA", at positions 330 to 793 of the family's 1533-position model. The record is from RNAcentral.
UCCAGACUCCUACGGGAGGCAGCAGUGAGGAAUAUUGGUCAAUGGUCGGGAGACUGAACCAGCCAAGCCGCGUGAGGGAGGAAGGUACAGAGUAUCGUAAACCUCUUUUGUCAGGGAACAAAGACUGGGACGCGUCCCCGGAUGAGUGUACCUGAAGAAAAAGCAUCGGCUAACUCCGUGCCAGCAGCCGCGGUAAUACGGAGGGGGCGAGCGUUGUUCGGAGUGACUGGGCGUAAAGAGCACGUAGGCGGUGUGUCAAGUCUGAUGUUAAAGCCCGGGGCUCAACUCCGGUUCGGCAUUGGAUACUGGCAAACUAGAAUGUGGUAGAGGUAAAGGGAAUUCCUGGUGUAGCGGUGAAAUGCGUAGAUAUCAGGAGGAACAUCGGUGGCGAAAGCGCUUUACUGGACCAUUAUUGACGCUGAGGAACGAAAGCCAGGGGAGCAAAUGGGAUUAGAUACCCGUGUAC